RNAcentral lists this non-coding RNA (363 nucleotides) under Bacillus solimangrovi. RNAcentral's name for it is "cspA thermoregulator". It matches the Rfam family "cspA thermoregulator", at positions 108 to 428 of the family's 428-position model. Lineage: Bacteria; Bacillati; Bacillota; Bacilli; Caryophanales; Bacillaceae. The record is from Rfam by way of RNAcentral.
UUUUGUUCGGCGUAUGACUGAAAGUAAGACUACCUUCAAUUAAGAAGUUGUUGUCUUCUAGAAGCAUGUUUGAGCAAGAAUAGUAUAAAUAAUCUUGUGGCACACAUGCCACACAGGAGGUACACAAUGGUAGAAGGUAAAGUAAAAUGGUUCAACUCUGAAAAAGGUUUUGGAUUUAUCGAAGUAGAAGGUCAAGAAGAUGUAUUCGUUCACUUCUCUGCUAUUCAAGGUGAUGGUUUCAAAACAUUAGAAGAAGGUCAAACUGUUACUUUUGAAAUUGAAGAAGGCGCUCGUGGUCCACAAGCUGCUAACGUUCAAAAACAAUAAUUUAUCAAAAGACUCCUAAUUAGGAGUCUUUUUUUA